RNAcentral lists this ribosomal RNA (796 nucleotides) under uncultured bacterium. Its description in RNAcentral is "bacterial SSU rRNA". It matches the Rfam family "Bacterial small subunit ribosomal RNA", at positions 547 to 1342 of the family's 1533-position model. The record is from RNAcentral.
GGAAUCACUGGGCGUAAAGAGCGUGUAGGCGGGUAUCUAAGUCAGAUUUGAAAUCCAAUAGCUUAACUAUUGAACUGCUUUUGAAGCUGUAUACCUAGAAUGUGGGAGAGGUAGAUGGAAUUUCUGGUGUAGGGGUAAAAUCCGUAGAGAUCAGAAGGAAUACCGAUUGCGAAGGCGAUCUACUGGAACAUUAUUGACGCUGAGACGCGAAAGCGUGGGGAGCAAACAGGAUUAGAUACCCUGGUAGUCCACGCCCUAAACGAUGUACACUAAUUGUUGUGAGGCUCGACCUUGCAGUAAUGCAGUAACACAUUAAGUGUACCGACUGGGGAGUACGGUCGCAAGAUUAAACUCAAAGGAUAGACGGGGACCCGCACAAGCGGUGGAGCAUUGUGGUUUUAAUUCGACGAUACACGAAGAACCUUACCUGGACUUGACAUAGUAAGAACUUUCUAGAGAUAGAUUGGUGUCUGCUUGCAGAAACUUAUAUACAGGUGCUGCACGGCUGUCGUCAGCUCGUGUCGUGAGAUGUUGGGUUAAGUCCCGCAACGAGCGCAACCCUCGUCAUUAGUUGCUAACAGUUCGGCUGAGAACUCUAAUGAGACUGCCUACGCAAGUAGGAGGAAGGUGAGGACGACGUCAAGUCAUCAUGGCCCUUACGUCCAGGGCUACACACGUGCUACAAUGGGGUAUACAAAGAGCAGCAAUACGGUGACGUGGAGCGAAUCUCAAAAAUAUCUCCCAGUUCGGAUUGUAGUCUGCAACUCGACUACAUGAAGUUGGAAUCGCUAGUAAU